Molecule: ribosomal RNA, 253 nt
Filed under: uncultured bacterium
Lineage: Bacteria
Description: partial 16S ribosomal RNA
Rfam family: Bacterial small subunit ribosomal RNA
Source: RNAcentral
UACGGGGGGGGCAAGCGUUGUUCGGAAUUACUGGGCGUAAAGGGCUCGUAGGCGGCCAACUAAGUCAGACGUGAAAUCCCUAGGCUCAACCUAGGAACUGCGUCUGAUACUGGAUGGCUUGAAUCCGGGAGAGGGAUGCAGAAUUCCAGGUGUAGCGGUGAAAUGCGUAGAUAUUCGGAGGAACACCAGUGGCGAAGGCGGCUCACUGGCUCGGUACUGACGCUGAGGUGCGAAAGCGUGGGGAGCAAACAGG